GUAUUGAAGAAAUCUAUUCAAAUGAAAAUAUGUAUACAUUCAAUCAAAUAUAAAUACCACAUUAACGACACUAUACAAGGAUAGUCAUAAGCAAUUAACAAACAAUAAUAGGAGAGAUUUUACAUAUCAAAUAAUACAUGAAAUCACUUAAAAUACUUCAUCCAUGCUUUGAUGCACAGUAAAAUUUUACAAUAAAUAAGUAGUACUGAUUUGACAAGAACUUGUUUGAUGAAUUAAAUCGAGUAAAUAAGCAAAACGUCGUCGCCGGAAACUCAACGAUAGACCCCGAUCUCUAAACCCAAACUCUUUUCCUCUUCUUCUUUGAUCUUUCUUUCACUUUGAAUAUUUUUUUCUCUGUUUUCUUUUCCUCCAAUUGAAUUCUGAUUUCUUUUGUUUUUCACUCACUGUUUCUCUCCCAUCUUUUUCCUUUUCUUUCAUCUACUGCUUUUUUAAGUGUGUGGUAUCCUGUGUCUCUGUCUUUUUGUGUUUUGCCUGUAUGUGUUGACAUAUAGUGUUUGAAUGUGUGUAGUUGUGGGAGUUUUUAG
Molecule: long non-coding RNA, 545 nt
Filed under: Capsicum annuum
Lineage: Eukaryota; Viridiplantae; Streptophyta; Magnoliopsida; Solanales; Solanaceae
Description: long non-coding RNA (CANN_LNC012644)
Source: RNAcentral